This is a long non-coding RNA of Helicoverpa armigera (cotton bollworm), 882 nucleotides long. RefSeq lists it as uncharacterized. Lineage: Eukaryota; Metazoa; Arthropoda; Insecta; Lepidoptera; Noctuidae. The record is from RefSeq and is a predicted model, not a curated record. The transcript is spliced from 3 exons.
UAAGACUGCGUCGUGCAAAAUAAUACAAAACGGCCGUCACAGUUAAAGGGAUAUCACCAAUACUAUUAUCAAAAUUACCAUAAAAAAUAUGUAUUGAGCACCACAAUGACUGUGUUUACAAUUCAUCGUUGGCAAAAAUUAUAAUUAUUGUCUAGUUAAAAUAACAAAAAUGUGUAAACAUGGACAAAAAUCUUAAAAUAGCACGUUCGUAUUUAGUUGAAUUUUGAUAGUAAACUGUUACAUUUUUUCACAAACUUUAAUGCAUAUCAAUCUAUAAUAAUCAUACUACAAUUUGUCGUUUUAAAAUUUUCGAAAAUGUAGCUUGGUUAUUUUAGACAUUAUUUUGUUUAAAAUUGGGCCGCUGCGCGCCCUGUUUUGAAUCAUACGCAACGUACACCGGCCGAAAGUUCAGUCGUCCACGAGAGCUCGGAGAGUGGUCACGUCUCAUCGGGAAGCGACGCGCCGAUAACGAUACUUCGCGAUCUAUUGUGUACUUAUACCUUGCCAAACGCAAACGCAAACUGUUGAAUAAGUAAAAUGGGAAAGCUUAAGGAAAAAAAUUAUAAGAAGAAAGUUGGCGCUAAUUUACGAAAAAAAAAAUGUUCUCGGAAAAAGAGCAAGUCCGGAUGGUAUUGUAGAAGAGGACAAAUUUGUGGAAAUUAACUGUCCUUAUUCAGCCAGAGACAUGAGUGUUGACGAUGGCAUAAGAGAAAAGAAAAUUAUUUUUUGGAAAAGAGACAAGGAAGGUAAUAUCAAUCUAAAUAAAAAUCAUGAUUGGUAGGUACUUCCAAACACAAGGACAACUUCACAUUACACAAAGAAAAACAUGUAUGUAUAUUUGCCGUUUGGACUGAAGUAGACAUGAAGGUUGAACUAAUUGAG